AGAGUUUGAUCCUGGCUCAGAACGAACGCUGGCGGCGUGCUUAACACAUGCAAGUCGCGUGCGCAGUUUCCGUAGCAAUACGGGGAUGGGCGCACGGCGCACGGGUGCGUAACACGUGGGCAAUCUGCCCUCCGAUGGGGAAUACCCCCGCGAAAGCGGGACUAAUUCCGCAUAACAUUCCUUGGAUUAACUUUCGAGGAUUCAAAGCAGCAAUGCGUCGGAGGAGGAGCCCGCGCCCGAUUAGCUAGUUGGUGAGGUAACGGCUCACCAAGGCAAUGAUCGGUAGCUGGUCUGAGAGGAUGGCCAGCCACACUGGAACUGAGACACGGUCCAGACUCCUACGGGAGGCAGCAGUGGGGAAUCUUGCACAAUGGGCGAAAGCCUGAUGCAGCGACGCCGCGUGGGGGAUGAAGCUUUUCGGAGUGUAAACCCCUUUCGACUGGGACGAAUGCCUCGCAAGAGGAGUGACGGUACCAGUAUAAGAAGCCCCGGCUAACUACGUGCCAGCAGCCGCGGUAAGACGUAGGGGGCCAGCGUUGUUCGGAAUUACUGAGUGUAAAGGGUUCGUAGGCGGUGUGGCAAGUCGGGAGUGAAAUCUCUGGGCUCAACCCAGAGACUGCUUCCGAAACUGCUGUGCUUGAGUGUGAGAGAGGCUCGUGGAAUUGCAGGUGUAGCGGUGAAAUGCGUAGAUAUCUGCAGGAACACCCGUGGCGAAAGCGGCGAGCUGGAUCACUACUGACGCUGAGGAACGAAAGCUAGGGGAGCAAACAGGAUUAGAUACCCUAGUAGUCC
This 792-nucleotide ribosomal RNA is filed under the name uncultured bacterium. RNAcentral's name for it is "bacterial SSU rRNA". It matches the Rfam family "Bacterial small subunit ribosomal RNA", at positions 8 to 796 of the family's 1533-position model. The record is from RNAcentral.